UUUUUAUGGAGAGUUUGAUCCUGGCUCAGGAUGAACGCUGGCGGCGUGCCUAAUACAUGCAAGUCGAGCGAACAGACGAGGAGCUUGCUCCUCUGACGUUAGCGGCGGACGGGUGAGUAACACGUGGAUAACCUACCUAUAAGACUGGGAUAACUUCGGGAAACCGGAGCUAAUACCGGAUAAUAUAUUGAACCGCAUGGUUCAAUAGUGAAAGACGGUUUUGCUGUCACUUAUAGAUGGAUCAGCGCCGCAUUAGCUAGUUGGUAAGGUAACGGCUUACCAAGGCAA
This 288-nucleotide ribosomal RNA is filed under the name Staphylococcus epidermidis NIH05003. Its description in RNAcentral is "partial 16S ribosomal RNA". It matches the Rfam family "Bacterial small subunit ribosomal RNA", at positions 1 to 276 of the family's 1533-position model. Lineage: Bacteria; Bacillati; Bacillota; Bacilli; Caryophanales; Staphylococcaceae. The record is from RNAcentral.